RNAcentral lists this ribosomal RNA (1048 nucleotides) under uncultured bacterium. RNAcentral's name for it is "bacterial SSU rRNA". It matches the Rfam family "Bacterial small subunit ribosomal RNA", at positions 65 to 1121 of the family's 1533-position model. The record is from RNAcentral.
CGCUGAAAGCCUGGUGCUUGCACCGGGUGGAUGAGUGGCGAACGGGUGAGUAACACGUGAGUAACCUGCCCCUGACUUCGGGAUAAGCCCGGGAAACUGGGUCUAAUACCGGAUACGACUGCCGGACGCAUGUCUGGUGGUGGAAAGUUUUUUCGGUUGGGGAUGGGCUCGCGGCCUAUCAGUUUGUUGGUGAGGUAAUGGCUCACCAAGACGACGACGGGUAGCCGGCCUGAGAGGGCGACCGGCCACACUGGGACUGAGACACGGCCCAGACUCCUACGGGAGGCAGCAGUGGGGAAUAUUGCACAAUGGGGGAAACCCUGAUGCAGCGACGCAGCGUGCGGGAUGACGGCCUUCGGGUUGUAAACCGCUUUCAGCAGGGAAGAAGCGCAAGUGACGGUACCUGCAGAAGAAGUACCGGCUAACUACGUGCCAGCAGCCGCGGUAAUACGUAGGGUACGAGCGUUGUCCGGAAUUAUUGGGCGUAAAGAGCUCGUAGGUGGUUGGUCACGUCUGCUGUGGAAACGCAACGCUUAACGUUGCGCGUGCAGUGGGUACGGGCUGACUAGAGUGCAGUAGGGGAGUCUGGAAUUCCUGGUGUAGCGGUGAAAUGCGCAGAUAUCAGGAGGAACACCGGUGGCGAAGGCGGGACUCUGGGCUGUAACUGACACUGAGGAGCGAAAGCAUGGGGAGCGAACAGGAUUAGAUACCCUGGUAGUCCAUGCCGUAAACGUUGGGCACUAGGUGUGGGGGGCAUUCCACGUUCUCCGCGCCGUAGCUAACGCAUUAAGUGCCCCGCCUGGGGAGUACGGUCGCAAGGCUAAAACUCAAAGGAAUUGACGGGGGCCCGCACAAGCGGCGGAGCAUGCGGAUUAAUUCGAUGCAACGCGAAGAACCUUACCAAGGCUUGACAUACACCGGACCGUCCUGGAAACAGGUCCUCUUCUUUGAAGCUGGUGUACAGGUGGUGCAUGGUUGUCGUCAGCUCGUGUCGUGAGAUGUUGGGUUAAGUCCCGCAACGAGCGCAACCCUCGUUCUAUGUUGCCAG